Molecule: ribosomal RNA, 482 nt
Filed under: uncultured bacterium
Lineage: Bacteria
Description: partial 16S ribosomal RNA
Rfam family: Bacterial small subunit ribosomal RNA
Source: RNAcentral
AUUGAACGCUGGCGGCAUGCCUUACACAUGCAAGUCGAACGGUAACGAGCCUUCGGGUGCCGACGCGUGGCGAUCGGGUGAGUAAUACAUCGGAACGUGCCCGAUCGUGGGGGAUAACGAGGCGAAAGCUUUGCUAAUACCGCAUACGAUCUACGGAUGAAAGCCGGGGACCGCAAGGCCUUGCGCGGGCGGAGCGGCCGAUGGCAGAUUAGGUAGUUGGUGGGAUAAAAGCUUACCAAGCCGACGAUCUGUAGCUGGUCUGAGAGGAUGAUCAGCCACACUGGGACUGAGACACGGCCCAGACUACUACGGGAGGCAGCAGUGGGGAAUUUUGGACAAUGGGCGCAAGCCUGAUCCAGCCAUGCCGCGUGCAGGAUGAAGGCCUUCGGGUUGUAAACUGCUUUUGUACGGAACGAAAAGCCUUCUUUUAAUACAGGAGGGUCAUGACGGUACCGGAAGAAUAAGCACCGGCUAACUACGUG